AUGACUAUAUGGCUAUAUGCAAGGGAAGAUAAUUAAAGUGUUAACUUAGAUUACUAAAAUAUCAU
RNAcentral lists this small RNA (65 nucleotides) under Arabidopsis thaliana (thale cress). RNAcentral's name for it is "ATSL023660". The record is from RNAcentral. Lineage: Eukaryota; Viridiplantae; Streptophyta; Magnoliopsida; Brassicales; Brassicaceae.